GGUGCGCGCGGCGGCGCGGGGUGUGAGCCGCGUCUCCCGGGGUUGGGGAGUUCCUGGAAUGUUGAGGGGUUGUCCUGAGGAUUGUCUGGUCCUCAACCCCGGUUGUCAUGGGCAGGGAUACACCCCCUAGAUCAAUUUGCUCAGGGCAUUACCCCGCCUGGCUUUGAAUACUGCUGGUAAUGGGGCAUCUACAGCCUCCGUGGGCAGCCUAUUCCAGUGUCUACUCACCCCCGCAGUGAAAAAUUUCUUCCUAAUAUCUAACCUCAAUUUCCCCCCUUUCACCACUGGGUAUACCCAGUGCUUUUUGCCCCAGCACUGCAGUUCCUGAUGAAGAGUCCCUCUCCGCUUCCUUAUCGGCUCCCUUCAGACACUGGAAGGUUACUCUGAGGUCUCCACUCUGUCUUCUCCAGGCUGAGCAGCCCCAAGUUUCUCAGCCUGUCCUCACAGGGCAGGUGCUCCAGUCCUCACCAGCCUCGUGGCCCUCGUCUGGACUUGCUCCAACAGUUCUGUGUCCCUCUUAUGUUGGGGACACCAGAACUAUCAGCAGCACUCCAGGUGGGGUCUCACCAGAGCAGAGAGAAAGAAUCACCUCAUUUGAACUGCUGACCAUGCCAGUCAUGGCCACCCUUUGGAUGCAGCCAAGGAUUUCCUUGGCUUUCUGGGCUGUGAGGGCUCACUGCCAGCUGAAUUUUUUAUCAAUCAUCACCCCAAGUCUUUCCCUGCAGGGCUGCUCUCAGUCACUUCUCUGCCCAGCCUGGGAUUGCCACGACCCAGGUGUAGGACCUGGCACUUUGUUGAACUCCUCGAGGUUUCCCUCAGCCCACCUUCAAGCCUGUGGAGGUCCCUCUGGGUGGCAUUGCUUCACUCCACUGUGUUGACUGCACCACACAGCUUGGAGCUGUCAACAAAUUUGCUGAGGGUGCACUUGAUCCCAUUGUCCAUGUCACCUACCAAAACAUUUAACUGUAUUGACCUCAAUACUGACCCGAAGGACACUGCUUUCAGCUGCAAUUCCUACUUCACUGUCAGGAUACAUGUCUGCUCCUCUGGCUUUGAAAAUUGGUUUACUGAUGUUAUCCAUGAAAACAAAACAUCACCUGAGCAUAAAGGAGUAGUUCUGCUGGUCGCUGCCAUACUCCACAGGAGGAACUCAAAGCUCUGGCCUAAGAUUUUUGUGCUGGUGUGUUGCCUUCCUGGUGGUGUUGGCUCCCUUUCCAGGAAUGUAGCAUUUUUUGUGCUGCCCUGUGGUAGAUACUUUGUGACUUGAAUGAAUCAUUUAAUUUCACUGUUCUUCAGAGGCAUAAGUAGUAACCCACAUUUACUUUUGUCUGUUCAAUGCUUCUAAAAUGUUCAGCUUUUUCCCUGGGAUGUUCUCUGAUGUGAGGAUAAGGCUAUUUUCCGAAGAAAUGUGCAAGUGAAAUGCUCUUGACCAGUAGUUUGUAAAUGUUGUAUUUGCUGUAGAAGGUGUCAUUUUCUUCUUCUAUUUGCAAGUGCUUCAGCACUACUGAAAAUCUAAUUAGCCUCAUAAAAGGAAGAGCACACUGAUAUUUGUAGGAAGAAUGAAGAAUGUAGGACAGAGUUAAGCUGAGAAAGUAAAGGAUAAUAUUUAGUUGCAGCCAUGGUAAUGAUCACAGAGGACACUCCCGUUUCAGAAGCUCUUUGACAAACACAGUCCCUAUGAAUAAAUUGUUUUUUAUUCUGCAAGCCGCUUGUUUCUCCCUGAAACUGCACCAAGCCAGUCCCUUGAGGCAGUGUUAGGGUAUUACAAUUCAGAGAAGCUGGUUUUCAGGCAAAAUUUGAAAUCUAGGGCCUCACAAUACAUUUCAGUAUUUUGAUGGAAACAUUAACAUUAGCCUUAAAUUGUGGCUAUGUUUUUAAUUCCUUGAGUUUUAGCUGGCUACCUUCAGCUGACAGGACCUGAGGGAAUGUCUUGAAGCUGUGUCAGGGGAGGGUUAGGUUGCAUGACAGGAAAAGGUUUUUCACCCAGAGGGUGUCUGGGCACUGAACAAGCUCCCCAUGGAAGUGGCCACAGCACGAAGCCUGGCAGAGCUGAAGAAGCAUUGUGACCAUGCUCUAGGGUACACGGUGGGAAUGCUGGGGUGUCCUCUUUCAGGGCAGGACUUGGACUUGGAUGAUCCUUGUGGCUCCCUUUCAGCUCAGGAUAUUCUGUGAUUCUUUCAACAUUCACCUUGUUUUGCUAGAACAGUCCUUUUGCUGUGUGACAAUGGGAUACUUUUCCUGGUGGUGAACACAGCUAAACCUGGAGCGUGAAGGGGCUGAUUGAGUGGUCUGAGAUGCUGAGACAGCAGAGUAGGUUAAGGGCAGGAUUUCCCCCUGUACUGGUAAGGUAGGUAUCAAGCUGAUUUCUAGUUGUACAUUUUUACACAUGCACUAUGUAUGUGCAUGUAUAUACGUGUAAAUAGAUACAGUUUUUUCAAUAGGACCUUUCCCCACCCCUAAAUCCCAAACCUGGCCUGUGAAAUUAAUAUAGCUGAAAUAUUUUAUUAUUUACUGAGAUCUAAGAAUGCAAAGCCUGGAAUGCAGACUUGGAGGCACUUUUGAAGUGUACUGAUGGAUAUAAAAAUGUUGAAUCAUGUUGUUUUUGUGCACUUAUAUUGGUUAUGCAGAAUUCUACAGUCAUUGCAUGCUGCUGGAGGACACAGGGAUUCCUGUUACACUGCCAGCACAUUGAAAAAUUCCUGGAGGAAUCCGCUGGUUGCUGCUUUCCAGCUGCACCUCCACAUCUGCUCAGAAAAUCAACUGUGCCCCAAGCCAUCGAUUUCCCCCAGCAGUUCAAGGCACAGGAAAACUAAACUUGUACGUUGCAGUAAGUCAUUCAUGAAAGACGAAUUCCUGGAAACUUGGGAAUUUGUGCUCAUCCAAAUGCAGAGAU
Molecule: non-coding RNA, 2893 nt
Organism: Cyanistes caeruleus (blue tit)
Lineage: Eukaryota; Metazoa; Chordata; Aves; Passeriformes; Paridae
Source: RefSeq, a predicted model, not a curated record